GGUCACGUCGUCUAGCGGUUAGGACUCUAGGUUUUCAUCCUAGCAAUCGCGGGUUCGAAUCCCGCCGUGAUCACCA
This 76-nucleotide transfer RNA is filed under the name Candidatus Nomurabacteria bacterium. RNAcentral describes it as "tRNA-Glu". It matches the Rfam family "tRNA". Rfam says of the family: Transfer RNA (tRNA) molecules are approximately 80 nucleotides in length. Their secondary structure includes four short double-helical elements and three loops (D, anti-codon, and T loops). The record is from RNAcentral. Lineage: Bacteria; Candidatus Nomuraibacteriota.